RNAcentral lists this ribosomal RNA (491 nucleotides) under uncultured bacterium. Its description in RNAcentral is "partial 16S ribosomal RNA". It matches the Rfam family "Bacterial small subunit ribosomal RNA", at positions 29 to 506 of the family's 1533-position model. The record is from RNAcentral.
AGUGAACGCUGGCGGUAGGCCUAACACAUGCAAGUCGAACGGCAGCACAGUAAGAGCUUGCUCUUACGGGUGGCGAGUGGCGGACGGGUGAGGAAUACAUCGGAAUCUACUUUUUCGUGGGGGAUAACGUAGGGAAACUUACGCUAAUACCGCAUACGACCUACGGGUGAAAGCAGGGGAUCUUCGGACCUUGCGCGAUUGAAUGAGCCGAUGUCGGAUUAGCUAGUUGGCGGGGUAAAGGCCCACCAAGGCGACGAUCCGUAGCUGGUCUGAGAGGAUGAUCAGCCACUCUGGAGCUGAGACGCGGUCCAGCCUCCUACGUGAGGCAGCAGUGGGGAAUAUUGGACAAUGGGCGCAAGCCUGAUCCAGCCAUACCGCGUGGGUGAAGAAGGCCUUCGGGUUGUAAAGCCCUUUUGUUGGGAAAGAAAAGCAGCAGGUUAAUACCCCGCUGUUCUGACGGUACCCAAAGAAUAAGCACCGGCUACCUUCGU